This 73-nucleotide transfer RNA is filed under the name Candidatus Taylorbacteria bacterium RIFCSPLOWO2_12_FULL_44_9. RNAcentral's name for it is "tRNA-Lys". It matches the Rfam family "tRNA". Rfam says of the family: Transfer RNA (tRNA) molecules are approximately 80 nucleotides in length. Their secondary structure includes four short double-helical elements and three loops (D, anti-codon, and T loops). Further hydrogen bonds mediate the characteristic L-shaped molecular structure. tRNAs have two regions of fundamental functional importance: the anti-codon, which is responsible for specific mRNA codon recognition, and the 3' end, to which the tRNAs corresponding amino acid is attached (by aminoacyl-tRNA synthetases). tRNAs cope with the degeneracy of the genetic code in two manners: having more than one tRNA (with a specific anti-codon) for a particular amino acid; and 'wobble' base-pairing, i.e. permitting non-standard base-pairing at the 3rd anti-codon position. Lineage: Bacteria; Candidatus Tayloriibacteriota. RNAcentral also lists the same sequence under 1 other name. The record is from RNAcentral.
CCGCCCUUAGCUCAGUUGGUAGAGCAGCUCCCUUUUAAGGAGAAGGUCGCAGGUUCGAUCCCUGCAGGGCGGA